This 774-nucleotide unclassified non-coding RNA is filed under the name Hevea brasiliensis (rubber tree). Lineage: Eukaryota; Viridiplantae; Streptophyta; Magnoliopsida; Malpighiales; Euphorbiaceae. The record is from RNAcentral.
CCCUUCACCCAAACACCAUGUAUGAUUAAGGCAUUUCUAUAAAUGAAUUACCGCUAAAAAUAAGAAAUAAAAAAGAAAAGAAGGCACAUCAAAUCUCAGUCAUCCUUGUCCUGAAGAGAAAUAUUUUAGAAAGAAUAAGUGGGUAGGCAUAUGAAAUGAAACCCCCACGUUGAUUCAGGUUUUCUUUUAAUUCCCCUUGACAACCCAAUUUAGCUUCCAAAAUUGGUGGACAAAAUGUUUUUAUCUUGUAUUGAUGGGAGAAUAAAUGAAAUGCACAGUUUCAAUGAAAAAGAAUAAUUGGGAAAGAAUAAAGACAAGGGGACUUUGUUAAAAGUUUAUUGGCAAGCUAUAAUUUAAUUAAUUCACUUAGGAAGUUUGUUAACAAGUUUCAAUGAAUUCUUAGUAAUUUUUUUUUUGAAAUUAUUGCACAUUAUUUAUCAAUUAUAUAAGAACACACAAGUUUUAGAGCUCAACCGGAAUGAACAAACAAAUAACCCAAAUAGAAAUCACAUCUUCCGUCCAUUCCCACAACAACAAAUCUACCCAGUUAUACAAAAAUAUAUUCACAAGCACAAUCAGUUUAAUUUCGAGAUUUUAGAAUUGGGGAUGUUAUUGAAUUGGUUCACUUUAAUGUUUUUGCUUGCUUUUGUUAUUAUCUAGGGGAGGGGCGAUGAAACUAGUAGAUGAUUGCCUGUUGCCUUGGGGCUUUUGACAACAUGUAUCUGGAAUUGUUUCGUUAGCUAAUUAUGAGUGGGAAAGAUAAUUAAAGGGGGA